UGGGGAAUAUUGGACAAUGGGCGAAAGCCUGAUCCAGCCAUGCCGCGUGUGUGAAGAAGGCCUUAUGGUUGUAAAGCACUUUAAGCGAGGAGGAGGGUACUGGUAUUAAUACUACCAGCUACUGGACGUUACUCGCAGAAUAAGCACCGGCUAACUCUGUGCCAGCAGCCGCGGUAAUACAGAGGGUGCGAGCGUUAAUCGGAUUUACUGGGCGUAAGGCGUGCGUAGGCGGCUAAUUGAGUCGGAUGUGAAAUCCCCGAGCUUAACUUGGGAAUUGCAUUCGAUACUGGGAAGCUAGAGUAUGGGAGAGGAUGGUAGAAUUCCAGGUGUAGCGGUGAAAUGCGUAGAGAUCUGGAGGAAUACCGAUGGCGAAGGCAGCCAUCUGGCCUAAUACUGACGCUGAGGUACGAAAGCAUGGGGAGCAAACAGG
This 430-nucleotide ribosomal RNA is filed under the name Pseudomonadota bacterium. RNAcentral's name for it is "Proteobacteria bacterium partial 16S ribosomal RNA". It matches the Rfam family "Bacterial small subunit ribosomal RNA", at positions 355 to 776 of the family's 1533-position model. Lineage: Bacteria; Pseudomonadati; Pseudomonadota. The record is from RNAcentral.